AUUUUUGUGUCCAAGUUUAGUGCAAGACCAUGUGGGAAAAUUAAAUCCAAGUUAGUUAUUGGACCCUUUCUGCCUUUUCUUCAGUAGAGCAGAGGGAUGCUCAUGAAGUUCCUCAUCUGAGGCCCUUGGACUGGAAGGUGUGGCUUCCUAGAACCCAUCCAGGCUGGUGGGUUUGGAGGGUGAGGCAUUGGGCUUGUCUGAACACCGCUGUGUAAAAGCACCUGGAGAUGUUCUGGCACCAAAGGAGCUCUGGGUGAGGCAUUGUGCUUCAGAGAGUUACACAGGAAAUGCAGAGUGAAGGAAGCGAAGACCUGAGCACAGCAUUUGGUGUCCUCUCCAACUCCCAGGACGUGACCUCCAGAAUCUGCUGCUGAACAACACAGAAAUCACAGAAAAGGGAACUGGCUCUGCCACUUCAGAACCGGCACAGGAUUUGCAAGGCAUCUCAGCACACCUGCACGUGCACACAAACAUUAUCCUGCUGCUGUUCCUGCUAACUGCCUGUGCGUGCUCAGGCCAGCGUCGCUCGGCAUAAACCUCAGACGUAACCAUGGCUACAGAACAACUGGCAAUUACAAAAUUUCCUCCAUUUUUUAAUGUUACACUAAUUAUGUUUGAAUGUGUUUUAAUGAAGAAAGGAAUCGAGGAGAUGAAACAGUGUUCUCUGCAUGAGGAAGAGUGGGGGUGAGAGCCUGUGUCUCCUGUCUGUGGCAGCCUGGAAUUCAAGCCCAGGGAAGGUGCAGAGCAUCUUGAAAUCAGGUGGUGUGCCUACAAGUACGUGGUGCUUGCACCAGCACGUGAAAAUACGUGGAUUAAAAUUUAGAAUCCCAACAAUAACAACAAAAAAAGGCCAGGCCUGCUCGUAACAUUGGGGAAAACAAAUCGCAUCUUAAAUUGAACCUUAUUUCAAGACUAAAAGAUGGCUGCUUGUUCUGCAGCGCCAUUGCUUGGGAUACCCUGCUAGCCGAAGGUGAAGCUCCAAAUCUUAAGCUGGUUUUGAAGAAUCAUACAAUUAUAGAAUGCUUUCAGUUGGAAAGGACUUUGAAAACCACCCAGUUCCAACCCCCUUGUCAUGGGCAGGGACAGCUUCCACUAGACCAGGUUGCUCAAAUCCAUAUCCAGCCUGGUCUUGACCAUGCACUUCCAAGCAUGUGACAUCCGCAGGUUCUUUGGGCAACCUGUUCCAGUGCUUGACCACUCUCUGUGGAAAAACUUCUUCCUUAGCUUUUGUUCAGUUAUGAUUUUGUGUGAGAAAUGCUUUUCUUUUGUUCUGCAUGGUAUGAAAUAUAUGGAGUGUGUGAGGUGAUUUCCAUGCUUGUACCAUGUGUAAAAUGUUUUAAAAAAAUUGUUAUUACCUAUUGUGCUCUCAGCACAAUGGUAACAAUGGUCUGGCAUGUCUGCUUGUGCUCCAUCUCUGGCUGUGUAUUAUCCAAAAUUCUAGGUCAUGCCAAAAAAAUUGACUGAGGCCAGUAAGCCCUUGCACAUGGGUACCUCCUGAGCCAGCUGAGGUGUGGGAGGCAUGUUCCAAAUGCUCUUUUUUGAUUUUAAUGGCCUAAUGGAGGAACACAUUCUGCCACCCAAAUUAUUCAUCAGCCUCAGAGGUUUCCAUCAGCAGAACCUAGUGGAUGUCCUGCCAGGGUAUGGUUGCAUCUGGGUCUUGUGCUGGUGUUGGUGCCUUCAAACAGGGCAAGAUGAGACAAACACAAGUUAGAAGGAGAAUAGCACUUCUGGCAUUUUGAGCUGGGGUCACAGGGCUGCUGUGCAACAGGUGUGGGUGUUUGACUGUGGGGCUUUUUAAUAAGACCUAUUUGGUUCUAUUUUACCUGGGGGGAGUCAAGGAAAAAACUCGAGCAAACAACAUUUUGCAUCCUACUGCUCCAUCUUCUCUGCUAACCUGGUAAUUUAGCAUGCAUGCACACCCACUGCUGAAGGUGGGGUGGGGAUAGUGUUACAAAUUUCCUCGCAGCAGUGAGCUCUGGAUCCCAGCUGUGUCUUCAGCGGCAUGAGCCAGCUUGAUUAUGCUAAAGCACCCCUGGAUCCCUUCCUCUUUUGUUUCAGUCUACACAGGGUUUUAAAGCUUAAACAUUUGACAUGCUUGGGUAGUUUCUUCUCUAAUUUUAUCCCAGCUGACUGUGCAAUGAGUUUAACUCAGAGCCCUUAGGUGCAAGCCACUUUGCACAAUGUAUAUUAAACCUUAUAAAACUAGCCUGUAUGUCAUUAUCCAGAAUAUAAUUACCUAUAUUGGAAUUUGGCCAGGAUACUGGGGCUAAUAUUGUUAGCCUUGCAAAAAUUGGCGCGGGACUUUCUAAUGACCACAUGUGGUCAGUGCCAUAUGUUUGCAGCUCAUCUAAGGGAUGGUGUCUCUCACACAGCCAUGCCCCCUUGAAAUCACUUCAGGGCAGGAAAGCAAAAGCUCAGAGGCCAGACAGGAUGAGUUCAGAGACUGGUGACAUCUUUGAUGUGGAGCAGACACAGCUCUGUGGCAAGCCAGAGUGCUGAGUGGCCAGGAGCUCUCCCUGACCCAAAUUUCCAUGGUCCCUCCCUCUCUUCUGCCAGCCCUCAAGCCUUCACAGCCCAGCCUGGUGAGAAGGGUCUCUGCCCUUUCUGGAGAUGAAGUAUUUUACAUAAAGCUAUAUUUUUUUAUCACUCAUCACACAGGUGAUUUAAUCCACUCAACACACUACUUUUGACAAGGGUGGCCUAAACCAUAAACUCUGCUAGAAAUCUUGUAUAAAGCCCUUGUAUUUUUUAAAUUUCCUUGUGUUGUAUGUCAGACAGUCAUACCACGCCCUAACUGAGAAUGACCAUGCUUUAAAAUAAUUAAGCUAAUAUUAAUGUUCUCAUUAAAGGGAAAUCUCAUUUAAA
This is a long non-coding RNA of Zonotrichia leucophrys gambelii, 2865 nucleotides long. RefSeq lists it as uncharacterized. Lineage: Eukaryota; Metazoa; Chordata; Aves; Passeriformes; Passerellidae. The transcript has 4 exons. The record is from RefSeq and is a predicted model, not a curated record.